GAACGCGGGCGGCAGGCCUAACACAUGCAAGUCGAACGGUAACAGGAAGCAGCUUGCUGCUUCGCUGACGAGUGGCGGACGGGUGAGUAAUGUCUGGGAAGCUGCCUGAUGGAGGGGGAUAACUACUGGAAACGGUAGCUAAUACCGCAUAAUGUCGCAAGACCAAAGAGGGGGACCUUCGGGCCUCUUGCCAUCGGAUGUGCCCAGAUGGGAUUAGCUUGUUGGUGGGGUAACGGCUCACCAAGGCGACGAUCCCUAGCUGGUCUGAGAGGAUGACCAGCCACACUGGAACUGAGACACGGUCCAGACUCCUACGGGAGGCAGCAGUGGGGAAUAUUGCACAAUGGGCGCAAGCCUGAUGCAGCCAUGCCGCGUGUAUGAAGAAGGCCUUCGGGUUGUAAAGUACUUUCAGCGGGGAGGAAGGGAGUAAAGUUAAUACCUUUGCUCAUUGACGUUACCCGCAGAAGAAGCACCGGCUAACUCCGUGCCAGCAGCCGCGGUAAUACGGAGGGUGCAAGCGUUAAUCGGAAUUACUGGGCGUAAAGCGCACGCAGGCGGUUUGUUAAGUCAGAUGUGAAAUCCCCGGGCUCAACCUGGGAACUGCAUCUGAUACUGGCAAGCUUGAGUCUCGUAGAGGGGGGUAGAAUUCCAGGUGUAGCGGUGAAAUGCGUAGAGAUCUGGAGGAAUACCGGUGGCGAAGGCGGCCCCCUGGACGAAGACUGACGCUCAGGUGCGAAAGCGUGGGGAGCAAACAGGAUUAGAUACCCUGGUAGUCCACGCCGUAAACGAUGUCGACUUGGAGGUUGUGCCCUUGAGGCGUGGCUUCCGGAGCUAACGCGUUAAGUCGACCGCCUGGGGAGUACGGCCGCAAGGUUAAAACUCAAAUGAAUUGACGGGGGCCCGCACAAGCGGUGGAGCAUGUGGUUUAAUUCGAUGCAACGCGAAGAACCUUACCUGGUCUUGACAUCCACGGAAGUUUUCAGAGAUGAGAAUGUGCCUUCGGGAACCGUGAGACAGGUGCUGCAUGGUUGUCGUCAGCUCGUGUUGUGAAAUGUUGGGUUAAGUCCCGCAACGAGCGCAACCCUUAUCCUUUGUUGCCAGCGGUCCGGCCGGGAACUCAAAGGAGACUGCCAGUGAUAAACUGGAGGAAGGUGGGGAUGACGUCAAGUCAUCAAGGCCCUUACGACCAGGGCUACACACGUGCUACAAUGGCGCAUACAAAGAGAAGCGACCUCGCGAGAGCAAGCGGACCUCAUAAAGUGCGUCGUAGUCCGGAUUGGAGUCUGCAACUCGACUCCAUGAAGUCGGAAUCGCUAGUAAUCGUGGAUCAGAAUGCCACGGUGAAUACGUUCCCGGGCCUUGUACACACCGCCCGUCACACCAUGGGAGUGGGUUGCAAAAGAAGUAGGUAGCUUAACCUUCGGGAGGGCGCUUACCACUUUGUGAUUCAUGACUGGGGUGAAGUCGGAACAAGGUA
Molecule: ribosomal RNA, 1477 nt
Filed under: metagenome
Description: bacterial SSU rRNA
Rfam family: Bacterial small subunit ribosomal RNA
Source: RNAcentral